AGUGGCGCACGGGUGAGUAAUGUAUAGCUAAUCUGCCCUAUACUGGGGGACAACAGUUGGAAACGACUGCUAAUACCCCAUAUACCCUUAUAACACAAGUUAUACGGGGAAAGUUUUUCGGUGUAGGAUGAGGCUGUAUGGUAUCAGCUUGUUGGUGGGGUAAAGGCCUACCAAGGCUAUGACGCCUAACUGGUCUGAGAGGAUGAUCAGUCACACUGGAACUGAGACACGGUCCAGACUCCUACGGGAGGCAGCAGUGGGGAAUAUUGCACAAUGGGCGAAAGCCUGAUGCAGCAACGCCGCGUGGAGGAUGACGCAUCUAGGUGUGUAAACUCCUUUUAUAUAAGAAGAAAAUGACGGUAUUAUAUGAAUAAGCACCGGCUAACUCCGUGCCAGCAGCCGCGGUAAUACGGAGGGUGCAAGCGUUACUCGGAAUCACUGGGCGUAAAGGACGCGUAGGCGGCUUGACAAGUCAGGUGUGAAAUCCUAUGGCUUAACCAUAGAACUGCACUUGAAACUGUCUUGCUAGAAUAAGGGAGAGGCGAAAGGAAUUAGUGGUGUAGGGGUAAAAUCCGUAGAGAUCACUAGGAAUACCUAUUGCGAAGGCGUUUCGCUGGAACUUUAUUGACGCUAAGGCGUGAAAGCGUGGGGAGCAAACAGGAUUAGAUACCCUGGUAGUCCACGCCCUAAACGAUGCACACUAGUUGUUGGAGUGCUAGCCACUUCAGUAAUGCAGCUAACGCAGUAAGUGUGCCGCCUGGGGAGUACGGUCGCAAGAUUAAAACUCAAAGGAAUAGACGGGGACCCGCACAAGCGGUGGAGCAUGUGGUUUAAUUCGAAGAUACGCGAAGAACCUUACCUGGCCUUGACAUACCAAAAAGACUCUAGAGAUAGAGUUGUGCUAGCUUGCUAGAAUUUGGAUACAGGUGCUGCACGGCUGUCGUCAGCUCGUGUCGUGAGAUGUUGGGUUAAGUCCCGCAACGAGCGCAACCCUCGUUCUUAGUUGCUAGCAGUUCGGCUGAGCACUCUAGGAAGACUGCCCACGCAAGUGGGAGGAAGGUGAGGACGACGUCAAGUCAUCAUGGCCCUUACGGCCAGGGCUACACACGUGCUACAAUGAUUAGGACAAUGAGACGCAAUACCGUGAGGUGGAGCAAAUCUAUAAACCUAGUCUCAGUUCGGAUUGGAGUCUGCAACUCGACUCCAUGAAGCUGGAAUCGCUAGUAAUCGUAAAUCAGCAAUGCUACGGUGAAUACGUUCCCGGGUCUUGUACUCACCGCCCGUCACACCAUGGGAGUUGAUUUCACCCGAAGCCGGGAUGCUAAAGUAGCUACUGUCCACGGUGGAAUCAGCGACUGGGGUGAAGUCGUAACAAGGUAACC
Molecule: ribosomal RNA, 1382 nt
Filed under: uncultured bacterium
Lineage: Bacteria
Description: bacterial SSU rRNA
Rfam family: Bacterial small subunit ribosomal RNA
Source: RNAcentral